CUAAGUUGCUUUGCAUUUAGACUACGUAAUAAGCGUAUUUAUUACCGCACCUAGUUGUAUCCUCUGCAGACGCUUUUAAAACCACUUUGCUUCUUUGGGAAACACUCUUUGGGGUAGACGGUUGUCAGGUUUGUCUCUGUGUGGUCUAAAUUAGAUUUAAAGCACAUUCCUUUCUAAAUCCAACACAAUGUUCCUCUUACUUAUUGGGCUAUUUAUCCAUUUUAGACUAGAAUAGUGCAAUGCAACUUCUAAACAAACCGAUGAAUCUGGUUCACUACUUGUUUACAGAACAACGAGGUACAAACUAUCUCAUUGUUACAUUCUUACACCUACUUUGUAAU
Molecule: long non-coding RNA, 341 nt
Organism: Gasterosteus aculeatus aculeatus (three-spined stickleback)
Lineage: Eukaryota; Metazoa; Chordata; Actinopteri; Perciformes; Gasterosteidae
Source: Ensembl